GAUGACCUCGGAUCAGGUAGGGAUACCCGCUGAACUUAAGCCUAUCAG
This 48-nucleotide ribosomal RNA is filed under the name Podosphaera aphanis. RNAcentral describes it as "partial 28S ribosomal RNA". Lineage: Eukaryota; Fungi; Ascomycota; Leotiomycetes; Helotiales; Erysiphaceae. The record is from RNAcentral.